RNAcentral lists this long non-coding RNA (1288 nucleotides) under Homo sapiens (human). Its description in RNAcentral is "long non-coding RNA NONHSAT173192.1". The record is from RNAcentral. Lineage: Eukaryota; Metazoa; Chordata; Mammalia; Primates; Hominidae.
GGGUCAGCGCGGGGCCACCAUCCAGCCCCUUGGGGCCCGCCCCAAGCAGCUGUCGAGGACGCACUCAGCCUGCGCAGCCAUGGCCUCGGCAGGGGCGGAGAGGCGGCCGGGGGUCCAGGAGGCGACGGUCGUGGGGCAGGGACAGCUCACGGAGGAGCCCGGCAGCGCUCAGACCUCCGAGUGUCCAGUGGCGGGAGACCAGUUCCUGGUGCCUGCCCAUGAGGCCCGCGGAACCCAGAGUGAAGACCAGCGCCCAGCAGGCGCAGCUUCGGAGUCGGAGCUCCAGGAGGAAGGACCCAAGCUGGGGGAGGAGCGGCCCAAGCCGCAUGCCGGGGCGCUAGAGGAGAGAGGCCCCAGGCCCGUGGUCUCCAUUGUGAGGCCCCGUCAUGGUCCAAAGAGAAAGCCUGUCAAGUCUCUCAGCCUCCCGGGCCUUCGUGCCCAUCUUAAGGCUGAAGCUGAGCUGCCACCCAAGCUGCCGCUGCAGGAGGAGGAGCCAGAGGACAGCCAGAGUGAGCCCUCACCAUCUGCCAAACAGCACAAAAAAGCCAAGAAGCGCAAGAGCCUGGGGGCUCCCGUGCUCCACGCUGUGGCCAGCAUGGUGUCUGCACCCUUAGAGACAUUGAGGCUGGAGCGUGAGUGGCAGUCCCUGGACUGUUCCUUCUCCCCCUGCCUGUGGGGCCCGACAUGGCACAACCUGGCGCUCUAGCCUCUGCCCUGCCCUGGGUCUUUGCAGGAAAGGCCCAGCGCCUGCGGCCGCUGUACCAGUACGUCAACUAUUGCAACCCUGAGCUGAACCAGGCAGGGAAGGGGGACGGGGAGGCUGAGGUGGAGGCAGAGGCAGAGCUGGCCCCGGUUCCCGAGGAGGGAGGUGUGGAGCAACUGCAGGCCUUGCUGCCCUUGGCAGGUGAGCUGGGCCCAGGCCUCGCUUUGCCCUGUCCCAGUCCACUAGUGACCCCCACCCAUGCCCUGGCUCCCCUCGGAGAGGAGGCUGGAGAGGAGCCUGGGGGCUUGCCCAGCUUGGGGGUGAGUGACCACAAGGCCGAGGUGGAUAAGUCAACCCAGGUGGACAUCGACAAGAUGCUGAGUGUCUGCACUGCUCCACUUGUCCCCCCGCUCUCUCCUCAGUACAAGUGACUGUCCCGCCCCACUGGUGGCUCCCCUCCUUCCACGCCUGAAUUUGGCUUCAGGCUUCCUGUGGGCCUAGGCCCUCUGGUGGCGGGGGCAAAUUUGGCACCUGCCCCCACUUGGGACUUUGGUCUUGCUGAAAAUAAAUAUUUUUCUUUUUCAA